RNAcentral lists this ribosomal RNA (779 nucleotides) under uncultured Peptococcus sp. RNAcentral describes it as "bacterial SSU rRNA". It matches the Rfam family "Bacterial small subunit ribosomal RNA", at positions 28 to 776 of the family's 1533-position model. The record is from RNAcentral. Lineage: Bacteria; Bacillati; Bacillota; Clostridia; Eubacteriales; Peptococcaceae.
GACAAACGCUGGCGGCAUGCCUAACACAUGCAAGUCGAACGGACAGAACAAGGAAGCUCUUCGGAGUGGAACUGGAAAGUUAGUGGCGGAUGGGUGAGUAACGCGUGGACAACCUACCUUGUAAAGGGGAAUAACCUCGAGAAAUCGAAGCUAAUACCCCAUAAUAACCUUGCUUCGCAUGAAGUAAGGAGGAAAGGCGGCCUUAGCGCUGUCGAUACAAGAUGGGUCCGCGUCUGAUUAGCUAGUUGGUGAGGUAAAGGCUCACCAAGGCGACGAUCAGUAGCCGGCCUGAGAGGGUGAACGGCCACAUUGGGACUGAGACACGGCCCAAACUCCUACGGGAGGCAGCAGUGGGGAAUCUUCCGCAAUGGGCGAAAGCCUGACGGAGCAAUGCCGCGUGAGUGAAGAAGGCCUUCGGGUUGUAAAACUCUGUCCUUAUCGAAGAGAGAGUGUUGUAGUAACUGACAAUACUAGGACGGUAGAUGAGGAGGAAGCCCCGGCUAACUAUGUGCCAGCAGCCGCGGUAAAACAUAGGGGGCAAGCGUUGUCCGGAAUCACUGGGCGUAAAGGGCGCGCAGGCGGUAAAUUAAGUCAGGUGUGAAAGUUCGGGGCUCAACCCCGUGAUUGCACCUGAUACUGAUAAACUAGAGUGUUGGAGAGGUAAGUGGAAUUCCUAGUGUAGCGGUGGAAUGCGUAGAUAUUAGGAGGAACACCAGUGGCGAAGGCGACUUACUGGCCAAUAACUGACGCUGAGGCGCGAAAGCGUGGGAGCAAACAGG